GUGGGGAAUAUUGGACAAUGGGCGAAAGCCUGAUCCAGCCAUGCCGCGUGUGUGAAGAAGGUCUUCGGAUUGUAAAGCACUUUAAGUUGGGAGGAAGGGCAGUAAGUUAAUACCUUGCUGUUUUGACGUUACCAACAGAAUAAGCACCGGCUAACUUCGUGCCAGCAGCCGCGGUAAUACGAAGGGUGCAAGCGUUAAUCGGAAUUACUGGGCGUAAAGCGCGCGUAGGUGGUUCAGCAAGUUGAAGGUGAAAUCCCCGGGCUCAACCUGGGAACUGCCUCCAAAACUACUGAGAUAGAGUACGGUAGAGGGUAGUGGAAUUUCCUGUGUAGCGGUGAAAUGCGUAGAUAUAGGAAGGAACACCAGUGGCGAAGGCGACUACCUGGACUGAUACUGACACUGAGGUGCGAAAGCGUGGGGAGCAAACAGGAUUAGAAACCCGUGUAGUCC
This 450-nucleotide ribosomal RNA is filed under the name uncultured bacterium. RNAcentral's name for it is "partial 16S ribosomal RNA". It matches the Rfam family "Bacterial small subunit ribosomal RNA", at positions 354 to 796 of the family's 1533-position model. The record is from RNAcentral.